Molecule: ribosomal RNA, 406 nt
Filed under: uncultured bacterium
Lineage: Bacteria
Description: partial 16S ribosomal RNA
Rfam family: Bacterial small subunit ribosomal RNA
Source: RNAcentral
AUUGAACGCUGGCGGCAGGCCUAACACAUGCACGUCGAACGAGUGGCGGACGGGUGAGUAAUGUCUGGGAAACUGACUGAUGGCGGGGGAUAACUACUGGAAACGGUAGCUAAUACCGCAUACCAUCGGAUGUGCCCAGAUGGGAUUAGCUAGUAGGUGGGGUAACGGCUCACCUAGGCGCCGCUCCCUAGCGGGUCUGAGAGGAUGACAGGCCACAAUGGAACUGAGAAACGGUCCAGACGCCUACGGGAGGCAGCAGUGGGGAAUAUUGCACAAUGGGCGCAGGCCUGAUGCAGCCAGGCCGCGUGUAUGAAGAAGGCCUUCGGGUUGUAAAGUACUUUAAGCGGGGAGGCGUUACCCGCAGAGGAAGCACCGGCUAACUCCGUGCCAGCCGCCGCGGUAAUUC